Molecule: long non-coding RNA, 682 nt
Organism: Lolium rigidum
Lineage: Eukaryota; Viridiplantae; Streptophyta; Magnoliopsida; Poales; Poaceae
Exons: 3
Source: RefSeq, a predicted model, not a curated record
AAUCCAAGAAUGGUGAAGUUUUGGGUAGAUAACCAAUUCUCCCAACCCUGAAUCACUUCCCAAACCGGAAACCCCAAAGAACACGCGAGCGGCGGCGCCAGAUCUGUGGCCGCCUCCGCGUAGAUCCUCCUCUCGACUGUCCUUCACACCGGCGCCCGCAACCUCUGCACCAUCGGCAGACUCGUUCUGUGGGCGUCCCUGCUAAUCUACCAUUGAGCCUUGACCCAGCGCCUCCCAUCCCUUGCACGUGAGCUCCUCCGUCCCUGUCUGCGCCUCACCUCGAUCUUGGCCUCGUUCACAACCUCCUGCUCCGUGGUGCCAUCCCUGGAGUAGCAGGAAUGGAUGUCCGGUCUGCCUGUGCCUGUUUUCUGGUGAUGCUUGUGUUGUUUGGAAGCACUACUUCUGCAGAGGAUUGUCACAUGGAGCGCUUUAAGCUCAUUUACUGCACUGAUCUUACAUGCAAGAAUAAUUGCUCGUUGAAUUGGGGUGACAAGGUCCGCGAAUCAAGCUGUGAAGGGAUAUUCAACGGCCAUUGCAGCUGCAAGAUUUGUUCCGUUUAGUAGAACUUCAAUUGAUAUUUAAAAUGCAUGCUAAGUGCACUUGAAGUUGUCAAUAAAUAAUUCAUCAUAUUAUGACCUGGAAUGACUUAGUUAAACACGUGAUUGUAUUCUUGGCAGAGGGA